RNAcentral lists this ribosomal RNA (948 nucleotides) under Triticum aestivum (bread wheat). Its description in RNAcentral is "partial small subunit ribosomal RNA". The record is from RNAcentral. Lineage: Eukaryota; Viridiplantae; Streptophyta; Magnoliopsida; Poales; Poaceae.
AUGUCGGACCAGAGGACACCGGCCGGCCGGCGGACGGAGGAGCCAAUGGAGGGCGCGUGCGAGAUCGCGCGCCUGCCGGAGGAGCUCCUCUCGGCGGCGCUGGCCCGCACGACCCCGCGCGACGCCUGCCGCGCAGCCGCCGUCUCCCCGGCCUUCCGCGCCGCGGCCGACUCCGACGCCGUCUGGGCCCGCUUCCUGCCCCCCGGCGGCCUCCCGCCGCUCGCCGACGGGGAGCUGGCCGGCCCCGCCCCGCCCUCGUCCAAGAAGGAGCUCUUCCUCCGCCUCUCAGCCGGCCCCGCCCUCCUUCAGGACAGGCUCGUGAGCGUGUGGGUGGACAGGGAGACCGGCGCCAAGUGCUACAUGCUGUCCGCCAGGAACCUCUUCAUCGUGUGGGGGAACACGCCCGAGUACUGGACAUGGAUCCCACUUGAAGACUCCAGGUUCUCCGAAGGUGCUGAACUCGUGGAUGUUUGCUGGUUUGAGAUCCACGGGAAGAUACAUAGCAAUAUGCUCUCCCAAGACACAACCUAUGCCGCCUACAUGGUCUUCAAGAUGGCAGAUUAUUACUAUGGGCUGAAUUUUCCUGCUCAGGAGGCAUCGGUCAGUUCCGGAGCAACCAACUUGACCCGCGAGGUUUGCCUACAAGCUGGCGAGGCGGACGAGAACAUGCAUUACGAUGAGGGCGACGACGAUGAGUACGAGGAGGAGGAGGAGGACGUUGACGAGUACUAUCGGUCGCUGACGAACCGGCGCGUAGUUUACGAAGAGAAUGUCGCGCUCCCUCAGAGAAGAGCCGACGGGUGGAUGGAGCUGGAGCUGGGUGAGUUCCUCAACGAGGGGGGCGAUGACGGCGAGGUGUCCAUCAGCCUGACGGAGACCAAAAGCGGGAAGUGGAAGAGCGGCCUCAUCGUGCAGGGCAUCGAGAUCAGAUGUAAGAAGUCGGGCUGA